UUUGUGACGGUACCUAGAUAAGAAGCACCGGCUAACUACGUGCCAGCAGCCGCGGUAAUACGUAGGGUGCGAGCGUUGUCCGGAAUUACUGGGCGUAAAGGGCUCGUAGGUGGUUUGUCGCGUCGUCUGUGAAAUUCCGGGGCUUAACUCCGGGCGUGCAGGCGAUACGGGCAUAACUUGAGUACUGUAGGGGUAACUGGAAUUCCUGGUGUAGCGGUGAAAUGCGCAGAUAUCAGGAGGAACACCGAUGGCGAAGGCAGGUUACUGGGCAGUUACUGACGCUGAGGAGCGAAAGCAUGGGUAGCGAACAGGAUUAGAUACCCUGGUAGUCCAUGCCGUAAACGGUGGGCGCUAGGUGUGAGGGUCUUUUCACGACUUUCGUGCCGUAGCUAACGCAUUAAGCGCCCCGCCUGGGGAGUACGGCCGCAAGGCUAAAACUCAAAGGAAUUGACGGGGGCCCGCACAAGCGGCGGAGCAUGUGGAUUAAUUCGAUGCAACGCGAAGAACCUUACCUGGGCUUGACAUACACUGGAUCGCUGCAGAGAUGUAGUUUCCCUUUGUGGCUGGUGUACAGGUGGUGCAUGGUUGUCGUCAGCUCGUGUCGUGAGAUGUUGGGUUAAGUCCCGCAACGAGCGCAACCCUUGUCUUAUGUUGCCAGCAUUUGGUUGGGGACUCAUGAGAGACUGCCGGGGUCAACUCGGAGGAAGGUGGGGAUGACGUCAAAUCAUCAUGCCCCUUAUGUCCAGGGCUUCACACAUGCUACAAUGGUCGGUACAACGCGCAGCGACACUGUGAGGUGGAGCGAAUCGCUGAAAGCCGGCCUUAGUUCGGAUUGGGGUCUGCAACUCGACCCCAUGAAGUCGGAGUCGCUAGUAAUCGCAGAUCAGCAAUGCUGCGGUGAAUACGUUCCCGGGCCUUGUACACACCGCCCGUCACGUCAUGAAAGUUGGUAACACCCGAAGCCGGUGGCCCAAACUUGUUAGGGAGCCGUCGAAGGUGGGAUCGGCGAUUGGGACGAAGUCGUAACAAGGUACCCGUACCGGAAGGUGCGGGUG
RNAcentral lists this ribosomal RNA (1055 nucleotides) under Corynebacterium aurimucosum. Its description in RNAcentral is "bacterial SSU rRNA". It matches the Rfam family "Bacterial small subunit ribosomal RNA", at positions 466 to 1520 of the family's 1533-position model. Lineage: Bacteria; Bacillati; Actinomycetota; Actinomycetes; Mycobacteriales; Corynebacteriaceae. The record is from RNAcentral.